CUUGUACUCCCUCCGUCCGAAAAUACUUGUCAUUGAAAUGGAUGUAUCUAGAUGUAUUUUAGUUCUAGACACAUCCAUUUUGAUGACAAGUAAUUCCGGACGAAGGGAGUACUUG
This is a non-coding RNA of Triticum aestivum (bread wheat), 115 nucleotides long. NCBI's taxonomy places the organism in Eukaryota, Viridiplantae, Streptophyta, Magnoliopsida, Poales, Poaceae. The record is from Rfam.